RNAcentral lists this ribosomal RNA (440 nucleotides) under uncultured bacterium. RNAcentral describes it as "partial 16S ribosomal RNA". It matches the Rfam family "Bacterial small subunit ribosomal RNA", at positions 338 to 795 of the family's 1533-position model. The record is from RNAcentral.
CCUACGGGUGGCAGCAGUGGGGAAUAUUGCACAAUGGGGGAAACCCUGAUGCAGCGACGCCGCGUGAGUGAAGAAGUAUCUCGGUAUGUAAAGCUCUAUCAGCAGGGAAGAAAAUGACGGUACCUGAUUAAGAAGCCCCGGCUAACUACGUGCCAGCAGCCGCGGUAAUACGUAGGGGGCAAGCGUUAUCCGGAUUUACUGGGUGUAAGGGGAGUGUAGACGGCAGCACAAGUCUGGAGUGAAAUGCCGGGGCUGAACCCCGGAACUGCUUUGGAAACUGUGCAGCUAGAGUGCAGGAGAGGGAAGUGGAAUUCCUAGUGUAGCGGUGAAAUGCGUAGAUAUUAGGAGGAACACCAGUGGCGAAGGCGGCUUACUGGACUGUAACUGACGUUGAGGCUCGAAAGCGUGGGGAGCAAACAGGAUUAGAUACCCCAGUAGUC